AGAACGUAAUUCGCUAACGCCGUAUUUUCGAAAUGGCAUAUCUCGAGUUCAAGUUUGAGGACGAAAUUACUAAAUAUAUUCGGGAACAAGAAUUGGCAACGUCACUGAAAUUCGUAAUAUUGGGAAAGGACAAAAGUUUUGGACAAAAGGAUGCACAGCCUUUGGCACGGAAAAAACUCAGCUGGGAGAGUAAAAGUAUCCCGUUCAAUGGUGUUCCGUUUCAAGUUGUUGGCACAAAGACGUAUGAAUGCCACCAGGGCAAAGACAGACAGACAAAAGCCAAAGAGAAAUAUGCUGCUGAAAGAGACAAGAAGGAACUUGAAGACCAUGCCUUUGUAAAGAGACGGAAACUGGUACAAAAUACCAAAAAGGUGGACUGCAAGGCUAUAAUAAACAUCGCCCACGUUAUUCGCUUUCCUGAUUUUAAGAUUGAGGAAGGUACAGUGCGCUCUAAAAAGGAGGCCUCCCAAACUCUGAAGGCAGCACUAAGUGAAACACCCAGCUCCGUGAAGGCAGAGGUUGUCUACUGCGUCAGGUUCCCCUCCCUCUCUGAGCACAGCUCACAUGCAGUUGUUGGCGAGGCAGCUCAUGUUAGGGAAGCUGUAGAUGCCAGGCUGAGAGAGAAGAUUGAGCAGCUGACUCUGUCUGGUGUGAGAAAGAUGACUGAAAUGAAGUGUCAUCUGAACACCUUUGUAGUGGAAGAGCUUUUCCAUGGAGAGCAGCCCCCUCCACCUACUCGCAGGCGCUAUUACCCCACUGACAGUGACAUAAGAAAUGUCAUGUUUAAGACCAAGCGGGCCACCGGAGACUCCAACAUUGACCGUCCAUACGAAGGUCCAUCUGGAAGAGGAAAGAAGAGGUCCUCUAGGAAGCUGUUGCGGUUACGGAGGCAAUGUGCAGGAUAUCUUAAAGAGAUCACAGAACUCACUUAUCAUCUCCAAGAGGAACAGUACGUGACUGACCUGUCUUCACAGCUCAGAAGUGUGCUGCUGGAUAUGAAGGCCCAUGUUCCACAGGAUAAAGACCUUCCACUGACCUUUUCUCCAAGGAAGAGAAAAGCUGAGAUGGACAUGGACCUCAUUCCAACCAAGAGUGCAUCACACCCUUUCAUAGAUGGGUUAGAACAGCAUACAGAGGACAUAGUGAGUGUGGAUACCUUGUUGGCAUUGAGCCUAGGUUAGUAGGGCUGAGUGGAUACCUUGUUGGCAUUGAGCCUAGGUUAGUAGGGCUGAGUGGAUACCUUGUUGGCAUUGAGCCUAGGUUAGUAGGGCUGAGUGGAUACCUUGUUGGCAUUGAGCCUAGGGUAGUAGGGCUGAGUGGAUACCUUGUUGGCAUUGAGCCUAGGGUAGUAGGGCUGAGUGGAUACCUUGUUGGUAUUGAGCCUAGGUUAGUAGGGCUGAGUGGAUAUGUUGGUAUUUAGCCUAGGGCUGAUGACUGUGUGGAUACCUUGUUGGCAUUGAGCCUAGGGUCAUAGGGCUGCGUGGAUACCUUGUUUACAUUGAGCCUAUGGUAGUAGGGCUGCGUGGAUACCUUGUUGGCAUUGAGCCUAGGUUAGUAGGGCUGCGUGGAUACCUUGUUGGUAUUUAGCCUAGGGCUGAUGACUGUGUGGGUUCUGCCUCCAAUUGAGUAUAUUUUGGGUAGUGUAACUUUUAUUUCAACUAAUGUUACUGUAACGGAUGUGAAAUGGCUAGCUAGAUUAAAGUUAUACUGUUACAUUAACAACUUCAUUAAAACAUGUUUUCUCAUCUGUACAACAAAUACAUGACUAUAGUACGUCAUUUAGGAGGCAUAUAUAAACACACGGUUCCACUCAUCUGCAGCUACUCUGCACUUUAUUGUAUUCUGGUCUGUCCUGAUGCCUAGUCACUUUACCCUGCACAUUUAUCUCUUUGAUCUGGUACUUCCUGUAUAUAGCUGCACAUUGAUCUGGUACUGGUAAUCCCUGUAUAUAGCUGCGCAUUGAUCUGGUACUGGUAAUCCCUGUAUAUAGCUGCACAUUGAUCUGGUACUGGUAAUCCCUGUAUAUAGUUGCACAUUGAUCUGGUACUGGUAAUCCCUGUAUAUGGUGUUAUUAUUGUGUAUUCUAUUCCUCUUGUUACAAUCCCCAUGUUUUUUUAAAAACUUUGAAUCGUUGUGAAGGGCUGUAAGCAAGAAUUUCACGGUUAAGUCUACACACCUGUUAUAUUCGGCGCAUGUGACAAAUAAAAUUUGUUUUUGAAGUGCCCAAAUAAAGUAACAGGGUUGACCUUAAAAGUGUUGACGUUUAAUCUUAAAUCAGAC
This is a long non-coding RNA of Oncorhynchus tshawytscha (Chinook salmon), 2280 nucleotides long. NCBI's taxonomy places the organism in Eukaryota, Metazoa, Chordata, Actinopteri, Salmoniformes, Salmonidae. The record is from Ensembl.